GCACAACGCGAAGAACCUUACCCAGGCUUGAACUGCAGAUGACAUCCUACGAAAGUAGGCUUCCGCAAGGACGUCUGUAGAGGUGCUGCAUGGCUGUCGUCAGCUCGUGUCGUGAGAUGUUGGGUUAAGUCCCGCAACGAGCGCAACCCUUGUCUUCUGUUGCCAUCGGGUCAAGCCGGGCACUCUGAAGAGACUGCCGGUGACAAACCGGAGGAAGGUGGGGAUGACGUCAAGUCAGCAUGGCCUUUAUGUCUGGGGCCACACACGUGCUACAAUGGCCGGUACAAACCGUCGCGAGCCCGCGAGGGGGAGCUAAUCGGAUAAAGCCGGUCUCAGUUCGGAUUGUAGGCUGCAACUCGCCUGCAUGAAGUUGGAAUCGCUAGUAAUCGCGGAUCAGCACGCCGCGGUGAAUACGUUCCCGGGUCUUGUACACACCG
RNAcentral lists this ribosomal RNA (437 nucleotides) under uncultured bacterium. RNAcentral describes it as "bacterial SSU rRNA". It matches the Rfam family "Bacterial small subunit ribosomal RNA", at positions 954 to 1392 of the family's 1533-position model. The record is from RNAcentral.